UUGGGAGUAGCGCUGAGAGCCGGAGAGGGGCUGUGAUGGAGACAGGGAAGACGAGGCAGCGGGGAAGAAGGAGCGAGGCAUGAAAAGGGUAUCGGAAGGGAAGGUCUGCACCAACCAGGAGCUUGGCAAUGACAAGUCUGCAACAAGAAGGGCACGUUUGAGAUAUGAUGAGGCUCCUGACUGGUGCUCUGCAGUACUAUGAUUUGGUAUGUGCUCACUUUGAUAGCAAGUGUAAUCAGCACCCUGGGACUGUCUGUUCAAGGUGCUGGGGGCUCACGGGAGGAGCCGCAGUUUGUCACGGCUCGCGCUGGAGAGAGUGUGAUCUUGGGGUGUGAUGUAGUACAUCCACUGACGGUACAACCCCCUCCCUAUGUUGUUGAGUGGUUUAAAUUUGGAGUUCCCAUUCCUAUCUUCAUUAAAUUUGGUUUCUAUCCUCCUCAUGUAGACCCAGAAUAUGUUGGCCGUGCAGCGCUUUACGAUAAGGCAUCAUUACGCAUUGAACAAGUUCGAUCACAAGAUCAGGGUUGGUACGAAUGCAAAGUGCUGAUGUUGGAACACCAAUAUGACACCUUUCAUAAUGGCAGCUGGGUACAUCUCACAGUAAACGCACCUCCCACAUUCACAGAAACCCCCCCUCAGUACCUAGAGGUGAAGGAGGGAAGCAGUAUCACACUAACUUGUACUGCUUUUGGUAAUCCCAAACCAACCGUUUCUUGGCUGCGAGAAGGAGAGUUUCUGGGACGAACAUCAAAAUAUCAGCUGAGCGACGGAAGUUUGACCAUUUCAUCCAUUGGACGUGAAGAUAGGGGAUCAUACAUGUGCCGAGCUACCAGCAUUCAGGGAGAAGCAGUUCACAGCACACGGCUACUUGUACAAGGGUCGCCCUUCAUUGUUUCCCCUCCCGAGAACAUUACGGUUAACAUUUCCCAAGAUGCUCUGUUCACAUGCCAGGCUGAAGCGUAUCCAGGGAACCUUACAUACACCUGGUACUGGCAGGAAGAGAAUGUUUUCUUCAAGAAUGACCUGAAGUUGAGGGUUCGCAUUCUGAUCGAUGGAACACUUAUUAUAUUCAGAGUGAAACCAGAGGAUGCUGGGAAAUACACCUGUGUGCCUAGCAAUAGCUUGGGGCGCUCCCCAUCUGCAUCAGCAUAUCUAACUGUCCAGUAUCCUGCCCGUGUAGUAAACAUGCCACCUGUAAUAUAUGUCCCAGUCGGUAUUCAUGGUCAUAUCCGCUGCCCUGUAGAAGCUGUACCACCUGUCACCUUUGUGAAAUGGAAUAAGGAUGGUCGGCCUCUGAGGAUUGAUAAGUUUUCUGGCUGGAAGCUUUUGGAUGAUGGAACAAUUCACGUUGAGGAGGCUACGGAAGAAUUGCUGGGCACUUACACCUGUGUGCCUUAUAAUGCGUUGGGGACCAUGGGCCAAUCCCCUCCUGCACGGCUGCUGCUGAAGGACCCGCCCUAUUUCACGGUGCUGCCCGGCUGGGAGUAUAGACAGGAAGCCGGGAGGGAGCUGCUGAUUCCUUGUGCAGCUGCAGGAGAUCCUUUUCCUUCCAUUUCAUGGAGAAAGGUUGGAAGGCCCUCUUUCAGUAAGCACAGUGUGCUGCCUAGUGGCUCCUUGCAAUUUAGAUCUCUCAGUAAAGAAGACCAUGGGGAAUGGGAAUGUGUGGCUAGUAAUGUUGUAACAAGUAUCACUGCCAGCGCUCACCUCACUGUUAUUGGCACCAGCCCUCAUGCUCCAUCCAACGUUAGAGUUGUGGUGUCCAUGAACACAGCAAAUGUUUCUUGGGAAGCAGGGUACGAUGGAGGAUUCGAGCAGACAUUUUCAGUUUGGUAUGGCGCUCUGAUAAAGCGUGCCCAGUUUGGUCCUCAUGACUGGGUCUCCAUGCCUGUUCCCAGUGGAUCAUCUUUUCUUCUUGUAGACUCUUUGGACCCAGAGACAGAGUACCAAUUCAGCGUCCUUGCACAGAACAAACUAGGAACUAGCUCCUUCAGUGAGGUUGUCACACUAAGGACUCUAGCCUUUCCUCUUACAACCCCUGAGCCUCUUCUGGUUUUGACCUCACCCCGCUGCCUGACAGCCAAUAGAACUCAGCAGGGAGUGCUUCUUUCCUGGCUCCCUCCAUCCAAUCACAGCUUUCCAUUGGAUCGUUACAUCAUGGAGUUCCGCUUGGCAGAGAGGUGGGAAAUUCUGGAUGACUCCAUCCUAGGCAGUGACACAGAAAUCCUAGCAAAGGAACUAUCCCAGGACACUUGGUAUGAAUUCCGUGUACUGGCAGUCAUGCAGGAUCUGAUCAGUGAGCCCAGUAACAUUGCUGGAGUGUCUAGCUCAGAUGUCUUCCCAUCUCCUGAUCUGAGUGAAGAGGGCUUUGCUCGGCCAGUGCUUGCUGGGAUUGUUGCAACCAUUUGUUUUCUAGCUGCUGCCAUCUUGUUUAGCACACUGGCUGCCUGUGUAGUAAAUAGGCAGCGCAAGCGGAAGAUGAAAAGGAAAAAAGUAUCUCAUUCCUGUCCUACAGAUCCACCUCUUUCCAUUACGCAUUGUCGCAAAAGUAUGGAGUCUCCGUUAUCUUCAGGUAAGGUGAGUCCAGAGAGUGUACGGACACUUCGUGCUCCAUCUGAAUCCUCUGAAGACCAGGGACCCCCAUCAAAACGGCCAUUGAGUCCUGGGCGUGAAAAAGAGCUUUCUCUUUACAAGAAGACAAAACGUGCCAUGACAAGCAAAAAAUAUAGUGUCAGCCAGGCAGAGGCUGAGGUCACAACACCGAUUGAGUUGAUUAGCAGGGGGCCAGAUGGACGAUUUGUGACAGCUGGACCAGAACAAGAACCCACUCUCAGGAGCCGCAGGAUUCAGGGUUUUCCAUUUGCUGAGGAAACAGAUAUGUAUCCAGAAUUUCGACAGUCAGAUGAGGAAAAUGAUGAACCAUCUGGUUUAAAGUCCCAGCUAACUCCAUUAUCCUCAAGCCAGGACUCUCCUCUUCAGCCUCCUGCCUACAGUCCCCGCUUUCAACAUCAGCCUUCUGAAGGAAGACAACAACCUUCUGGUCAGUCUAGGCCAGGUGGAUAUCAUCAUGGCCAUUUGUAUGGAUACCUUAGCAGUAGCCCUCUAGAUUCAGAUCCACCUCCACCAUUCUACAUGCCAGAGGUCAGCCCACUUAGCUCAGUGAUGUCCUCCCCCCCAUUACUUCCUGAGGGAUCAUUCCCCCCAAUUCCAGAGGAAAAUGGGGAAAAUAGUUCCACUAGUACUCUUCCUUUAACACACACACCAACAGGGGGACGUUCUCCAGAGCAGUGGGGAGUCCCAGAUUUUCCCUUUGUGGGAUUAGAAGCCCCAGCCUCUCCAUCUCUGUUUGUACAGCAUCGGUAUGAGACUACUGAAAUACGUCGGCCCCUUCCACCACCUCCUCCUCUUCCUUUUCCACAUGGACAUCCACCACCGAGCUCAUUACAAGUACCUUCAUAUGCUGCCAUCCUGCCCCUGGAAUCACACCCAGGAUGGGUAGGGAGACUACCCAGUCGAUGCCCACCACCUCCACAUCCAUCCUGGCAGGAUGCAGCUAUGCAACUGGCAGCUCAAGGCCAGCUACGGCACACCAGCCAAGGAAUGGGGAUCCCGGUGCUUCCAUAUCCAGACAUUCCUCAACCAGGACCCUUAGGGAUGGAUGCUCGUUGGUUUGAAAGUCGUCCACGUCCACAGAUGAGCCCCAGGCAGCAUCGUAGACUGGACCCUAGUCUACACCAGGUGGUACUGCAACCAUCCCGGCUUUCACCACUUACCCAAAGUCCACUGAGCUCCAGGCAUGGUUCUCCUGAACUAAGUGUAAGGGCCAGACCUCGACCUGGUCUUCUGCCUCCGCCAUCUGACUGCUCUGGCAUUGCCCUCCAACCACCAGGAUUUAUACACAAAUCACCACCUUCCUCUGGAUCCCCAGCCAAGAGCAGCCAUGGGGAAAGUCCUAGUUAUCGAUUAACCCCACCCGAUACCUCCCCCCAUGCCGAAGGACGGAGGAGGAUAGGAGAAGAGCGACUGCAUGCAGAGACGGCGGUGCUGUGCACUGCAGGAAUUUUACAUUUUUGAGAUAUUCAUCAAGUAAAAUUUCACCAUACAGUAUUACCCCAGAAGAGCUUUAACUGUAUGUUGCAAAACAGGGGCUUUAAAAAAAUACACAUUUUAAAGGGGUUACAGAUGGUUAAAAAAAAGAUGAUGAAAAAAGAAGAAACAGCUGUUUUUUUUUUUUUUUGUCUUCAGGAGUGUUUGUAAGGUGUUUCGUAUUUAGUGAGCAUAGAGUAUGCCAUUAAGUCUUAGGCCAUGCACAGUUUUAAUUUGCACAUAUCUGUUAUAACUGCCGGUUGCCAUUUUAAUUCCGAAUCCAAAGCACAUCACUUUCCACCACUCUGCCCAUGGUAACUGUGUCUGUUUCUGAUUGAUCUCAGCUAUCUGAGCAGUGUUGACGUCAUCAACUCCUCCGUCCAAUAGGGUUGGGAUUGCUGCUGUACCUGAGAGGUCAGAAGUUGUGAUAGAUCAGCGUGUUCUCAAGCCCAAAAAAUCCACCAAGGGCAGAUCAAAGUCCAGGAAGCACUCUGAUGGAUCCACCUCACAGGUUUACCAGCUACCCCAAGCCGUGUAUAUGGAUACUCGCUGCGUUCGAAGGAAGAAACGUCCCACACGACAGGACCCACUAUCUCGUCUCUCUGCUUUGAGGGAUGAGCUAUGUCACCGUUCACUGUCUGAUGACCGGGCUGCCAUUCUGACCAGCACCGAGCCUGAUGACUCCAGCGGCCAUGCCACACUUCUGUGACUAUACCCAGAGAGAGGCCUGGUUCUUAGGCCCUUUCUGUCUCUUGGUGCUGAAACUCCCUGCCCUUCUUCUGAAAAGACCUGACACAAAACCGUGAGCAGCGAGUCGUGCGUUCAUUGCCUACCUCACCAACCUCUGUGUGUGCUGAGGAUAAACUUAUGCCUCACGUCUUGGAGCAAUGUACAGUGUUAACUCUGAAAACUCUGAAAACUGGUAGAUAUAAGGAUAUAUUCAUUGGUCACAGUUCAGCACUAUGUAUGGUGUGACUAUAGCACAGAUUGGGAGCUUUGAGAACAAACUGGUAUCUCACAGCUUAGCUUCUUAUAUAGUGUUUAUACCCUUUACAUGAGAGGCAAGAGCAAGGAUCAUGUGGAGCUAUCAUACAGUAUCUCCAUUUGCAUCCACUGUGUAUGUUUUAUAUAUGCAUACAUACAUAUAUUGUAAUAUUUCAGUGUGCGUAUGUAUUCAUAUAUUAUAUUUAUGUUGUCACAGAGGCACAUUUUAAUUUAUUCAGCAUAUAACCUGUAACACAGUUGUGUCUGCUAAAAACAAAGAUAAGUUCAAA
RNA transcript from Xenopus tropicalis (tropical clawed frog), 5357 nucleotides. It is a transcript of the gene named immunoglobulin superfamily member 9B, with no coding region annotated. The record is from RefSeq and is a predicted model, not a curated record. The transcript has 21 exons. Lineage: Eukaryota; Metazoa; Chordata; Amphibia; Anura; Pipidae.